GAUGAACGCUGGCGGCGUGCCUAAUACAUGCAAGUCGAGCGAACAGACGAGGAGCUUGCUCCUCUGACGUUAGCGGCGGACGGGUGAGUAACACGUGGAUAACCUACCUAUAAGACUGGGAUAACUUCGGGAAACCGGAGCUAAUACCGGAUAAUAUAUUGAACCGCAUGGUUCAAUAGUGAAAGACGGUUUUGCUGUCACUUAUAGAUGGAUCCGCGCCGCAUUAGCUAGUUGGUAAGGUAACGGCUUACCAAGGCAACGAUGCGUAGCCGACCUGAGAGGGUGAUCGGCCACACUGGAACUGAGACACGGUCCAGACUCCUACGGGAGGCAGCAGUAGGGAAUCUUCCGCAAAGGGCGAAAGCCUGACGGAGCAACGCCGCGUGAGUGAUGAAGGUCUUCGGAUCGUAAAACUCUGUUAUUAGGGAAGAACAAAUGUGUAAGUAACUAUGCACGUCUUAACGGUACCUAAUCAGAAAGCCACGGCUAACUACGUG
Molecule: ribosomal RNA, 497 nt
Filed under: uncultured bacterium
Lineage: Bacteria
Description: partial 16S ribosomal RNA
Rfam family: Bacterial small subunit ribosomal RNA
Source: RNAcentral